Molecule: ribosomal RNA, 465 nt
Filed under: uncultured bacterium
Lineage: Bacteria
Description: partial 16S ribosomal RNA
Rfam family: Bacterial small subunit ribosomal RNA
Source: RNAcentral
GACGAACGCUGGCGGCGUGCUUAACACAUGCAAGUCGAACGGAAAGGCCCUGCUUGCAGGGUACUCGAGUGGCGAACGGGUGAGUAACACGUGGGUGAUCUGCCCUGCACUUCGGGAUAAGCCUGGGAAACUGGGUCUAAUACCGGAUAGGGGCCAUUCUUAGGGUGAUGGUUGGAAAGUUUUUUGGGGGUAGGAUGAGCUCGCGGCCUAUCAGCUUGUUGGUGGGGUAAUGGCCUACCAAGGCGGCGACGGGUAGCCGGCCGGGGGGGGUGGACGGCCACAUUGGGGCUGAGAUACGGCCCAGACUCCUACGGGGGGCAGCAGUGGGGAAUAUUGCACAAUGGGCGCAAGCCUGAUGCAGCGAAGCCGCGUGGGGGAUGACGGCCUUCGGGUUGUAAACUCCUUUCGCUAGGGACGAAGCUUUUUGUGACGGUACCUAGAUAAGAAGCACCGGCUAACUACGUG